UGCCAGUGAUAAACUGGAGGAAGGUGGGGAUGACGUCAAGUCAUCAUGGCCCUUACGACCAGGGCUACACACGUGCUACAAUGGCGCAUACAAAGAGAAGCGACCUCGCGAGAGCAAGCGGACCUCAUAAAGUGCGUCGUAGUCCGGAUUGGAGUCUGCAACUCGACUCCAUGAAGUCGGAAUCGCUAGUAAUCGUGGAUCAGAAUGCCACGGUGAAUACGUUCCCGGGCCUUGUACACACCGCCCGUCACACCAUGGGAGUGGGUUGCAAAAGAAGUAGGUAGCUUAACCUUCGGGAGGGCGCUUACCACUUUGUGAUUCAUGACUGGGGUGAAGUCGUAACAAGGUAACCGUAGGGGAACCUGCGGUUGGAUCACCUCCUUACCUUAAAGAAG
RNAcentral lists this ribosomal RNA (395 nucleotides) under Escherichia coli. RNAcentral's name for it is "bacterial SSU rRNA". It matches the Rfam family "Bacterial small subunit ribosomal RNA", at positions 1150 to 1533 of the family's 1533-position model. The record is from RNAcentral. Lineage: Bacteria; Pseudomonadati; Pseudomonadota; Gammaproteobacteria; Enterobacterales; Enterobacteriaceae.